CCCUUCAUCAGUGCGUAUAUUAAAAAGUGGAAUUAUACAGAGAAGAUUGUCAUGGCCUGAAAACAAGGAUAACAUGAAAAUUCAUGAAAUAUUCCUUUUUGUU
This is a small nuclear RNA of Heterocephalus glaber (naked mole-rat), 103 nucleotides long. Lineage: Eukaryota; Metazoa; Chordata; Mammalia; Rodentia; Bathyergidae. The record is from Ensembl.